This 876-nucleotide ribosomal RNA is filed under the name Alteromonadales bacterium HOT4B6. RNAcentral describes it as "bacterial SSU rRNA". It matches the Rfam family "Bacterial small subunit ribosomal RNA", at positions 88 to 965 of the family's 1533-position model. Lineage: Bacteria; Pseudomonadati; Pseudomonadota; Gammaproteobacteria; Alteromonadales. The record is from RNAcentral.
AUGACGAGUGGCGGACGGGUGAGUAAUGCUUGGGAACUUGCCUUUGCGAGGGGGAUAACAGUUGGAAACGACUGCUAAUACCGCAUAAUGUCUACGGACCAAACGGGGCUUAGGCUCCGGCGCAAAGAGAGGCCCAAGUGAGAUUAGCUAGUUGGUGAGGUAAAGGCUUACCAAGGCGACGAUCUCUAGCUGUUCUGAGAGGAAGAUCAGCCACACUGGGACUGAGACACGGCCCAGACUCCUACGGGAGGCAGCAGUGGGGAAUAUUGCACAAUGGGGGAAACCCUGAUGCAGCCAUGCCGCGUGUGUGAAGAAGGCCUUCGGGUUGUAAAGCACUUUCAGUUGUGAGGAAAAGUUAGUAGUUAAUACCUGCUAGCCGUGACGUUAACAACAGAAGAAGCACCGGCUAACUCCGUGCCAGCAGCCGCGGUAAUACGGAGGGUGCGAGCGUUAAUCGGAAUUACUGGGCGUAAAGCGCACGCAGGCGGUUUGUUAAGCUAGAUGUGAAAGCCCCGGGCUCAACCUGGGAUGGUCAUUUAGAACUGGCAGACUAGAGUCUUGGAGAGGGGAGUGGAAUUCCAGGUGUAGCGGUGAAAUGCGUAGAUAUCUGGAGGAACAUCAGUGGCGAAGGCGACUCCCUGGCCAAAGACUGACGCUCAUGUGCGAAAGUGUGGGUAGCGAACAGGAUUAGAUACCCUGGUAGUCCACACCGUAAACGCUGUCUACUAGCUGUUUGUGACUUUAAGUCGUGAGUAGCGAAGCUAACGCGCUAAGUAGACCGCCUGGGGAGUACGGCCGCAAGGUUAAAACUCAAAUGAAUUGACGGGGGGCCCGCACAAGCGGUGGAGCAUGUGGUUUAAUUCGAUGCAACGCGAA